Molecule: long non-coding RNA, 236 nt
Filed under: Lotus japonicus
Lineage: Eukaryota; Viridiplantae; Streptophyta; Magnoliopsida; Fabales; Fabaceae
Description: long non-coding RNA (LJAP_LNC000234)
Source: RNAcentral
AAUAAGGACAAGUGAUGUCUUGGUGCUUACAUGGCCAGAUUAUUGCCCAAUCACCAGCCCACGUGGCAGGCUUAGUCAGAUUAGGACUGUUGACAUCUUUAAUCAGUUUUGUUCCUUCAAAUUUUUUCUAGUCACAUUUGGUCCUUCUCUUCCCAACCAUCACCCACUUCCACAACUACCUCCUAGCCACCACCCAAACUACCAUCCCCCACUUCACCAAACCUUUCCCCACCACC